RNAcentral lists this ribosomal RNA (404 nucleotides) under uncultured bacterium. RNAcentral describes it as "bacterial SSU rRNA". It matches the Rfam family "Bacterial small subunit ribosomal RNA", at positions 355 to 775 of the family's 1533-position model. The record is from RNAcentral.
UAGGGAAUAUUGCUUAAUGGGCGAAAGCCUGAAGCAGCAACGCCGCGUGCACGAUGAAGGUCUUCGGAUCGUAAAGUGCUUUUUUAGAGGAUGAGGAAGGACAGUACUCUAAGAAUAAGCCUCGGCUAACUACGUGCCAGCAGCCGCGGUAAAACGUAGGAGGCGAGCGUUAUCCGGAUUUACUGGGCGUAAAGCGUGUGCAGGUGGUUUGGUAAGUUGGAUGUGAAAGCUCCUGGCUUAACUGGGAGAGGUCGUUCAAUACUGCCAGACUUGAGAGUGAGAGAGGGAGGUGGAAUUCCGGGUGUAGUGGUGAAAUGCGUAGAUAUCCGGAGGAACACCAGUGGCGAAAGCGGCCUCCUGGCUCAUUUCUGACACUCAUACACGAAAGCUAGGGUAGCAAACGG